GUGGUUUAAUUCGAAGCAACGCGUAAGAACCUUACCAGGUCUUGACAUCCCGAUGCUAUUUCUAGAGAUAGAAAGUUACUUCGGUACAUCGGUGACAGGUGGUGCAUGGUUGUCGUCAGCUCGUGUCGUGAGAUGUUGGGUUAAGUCCCGCAACGAGCGCAACCCCUAUUGUUAGUUGCCAUCAUUCAGUUGGGCACUCUAGCGAGACUGCCGGUAAUAAACCGGAGGAAGUGGGAUGACGUCAAAUCAUCAUGCCCCUUAUGACCUGGGCUACACACGUGCUACAAUGGUUGGUACAACGAGUUGCGAGUCGGUGACGGCGAGCUAAUCUCUUAAAGCCAAUCUCAGUUCGGAUUGUAGACUGCAACUCGCCUACAUGAAGUCGGAAUCGCUAGUAAUCGCGGAUCAGCACGCCGCGGUGAAUACGUUCCCGGGCCUU
This 439-nucleotide ribosomal RNA is filed under the name uncultured Streptococcus sp. RNAcentral's name for it is "bacterial SSU rRNA". It matches the Rfam family "Bacterial small subunit ribosomal RNA", at positions 941 to 1382 of the family's 1533-position model. The record is from RNAcentral. Lineage: Bacteria; Bacillati; Bacillota; Bacilli; Lactobacillales; Streptococcaceae.